UGGUGGAGUGAUUUGUCUGGUUAAUUCCGUUAACGAACGAGACCUCGACCUACUAAAUAGUCGAGUAAACUUUUCGGGGUAUAUAUUGACUUCUUAGAGGGACUUUUGGUGAGUAGCCAAAGGAAGUUCGAGGCAAUAACA
RNAcentral lists this ribosomal RNA (141 nucleotides) under uncultured eukaryote. RNAcentral describes it as "partial 18S ribosomal RNA". It matches the Rfam family "Eukaryotic small subunit ribosomal RNA", at positions 1299 to 1458 of the family's 1831-position model. The record is from RNAcentral.